Long non-coding RNA from Neocloeon triangulifer, 1788 nucleotides. RefSeq lists it as uncharacterized. NCBI's taxonomy places the organism in Eukaryota, Metazoa, Arthropoda, Insecta, Ephemeroptera, Baetidae. The record is from RefSeq and is a predicted model, not a curated record. The transcript is spliced from 6 exons.
CAAAAGAAAAUGUUAGCGAAUGUUAGAAAUACGCAACUCAGAGGUUUUAUGACUGAAACUCUAAUUAAAUAUGUGAUUGAAUAUUGAAUUUCCAAUGGUGAAGCUGCAUUUUUUCCGCCUACGACCCAGCACGCGGGAUAAUCCAUAGGAGAUUUAUUGAUUUAUUCAAGGUUUGCGGCCGAAUUACUUUUAUUUAACUGUCGCCCUUUUUAUUUUUUUUUCUUUUUUCCCAUCCUAUUUAGGCUUAAUUAGGGAGGACUGAGUCGACUUAACAAAAAACUUAAGUCCGCGCCGCAUAUAAAGUCUCAACUUAAGUUGAGUCUAAGUCCGCCAGGGUGUAGAGCAAGCAUUUUUUUAUUGUCCGUCGGUGCGGUCGGUGCAUGGACCUGUCGGUGAAGUUAGCUUCUUGGAAGUUAGUUCGCUCUGGUACUCUGGUUUUUAGCUCCAAAUAAACGUGGAACAAGGUCUACGUACAGCGGAGAGGAGUUUCCGAUUUUGUGACAUGUGGGCGGAGCUUUGAAAAGCUUAACAGCACAUUAAAUUUUGUAUCUAUUCUCGUGUUUACAUUCCAAGUUCCCGCUUCCCUGCGCUUCCCGCUUCCCACGACAGGUGUCCGCGAAACUAAAAAUGUGGGCGUGGCCGUUGUUUUUGUUAAUUGUCUUCGAUUUGAGAUUUGAUUCAAGAAGUAUAAAAUUUUAUACUUCUUGAUUUGAUUUGAAGAAACAAGCACGUGUGUUGCUGUUGCGUCUCAUGUCGCCGCCGGGAUUAACUCCGCAGAGAGAUUAAAAUCUUCCGUUCAAAAUGUUUGGUCUCGCUCAUGGCAUCUCGCUGAGGCGCUUAUGUCACUUCUGAAGCAGUUUUCCAGGUGGUCCAGAUCCAGCCUGCUCGCUCGCUGGCCAGCCAGUGCGUUCAGGCACCAUCGACCAUAAUGUGACACCCUUCUUCGGCCAAGCAAGUUUGCAAAUGAGAGCCAACAAACAUCACCGGCCUGUUGUUAGCCUUGUGAAUCACUUAAAGGUUAUGACCCUUGUGCAGCAUUCUCAUCGUGAUGAUUAUUUGCUAAUUCUGCCCUGACCUGAUGUGACCAUUAUGUGAAGAAAAUGCAGCAAAUCCACAUCUCACUGGUCGUCUACCUACGGAGAAAUCACAAACUCUUAUUCAAGCCGCUUGCAACACCACGACUGCCAUCAUUGUCAAGUUUGCAUCCAGUGUAUUCCUGGUGAAUCAUUCUCUCUGCAAGAGCACUACAUUGAAAUGCUCGCUGCGAUGCUGCGCCGAACAACAAAAUCAACUGCAGGAUCUGGUCACCAUGAACAAGGAAAACAUCUCCGAGUGUGGGAAAACGUCUGCCCUCCUCAGCAUUGCACUCUCGGAGCUUGAGAAUCAAACAAAUCUCUCGAUGAAGAGACCUUCCAGGUAAAUGACACUCUUGGACCCAAUCAAACCAAAACCAGCCUCAGCACACCUUUUGACUUAAUUAAAUUGAAGCAGCAUGAGAGAGAUCUGUCCGACUCCAGACCACUGUCCAACUCGGCGUACAGCUAUGAAGACCAACUGUCAGUCAGACUUCUCGGGACACCAAAUUCUCAUCAAGGGCGCAAUAGAGUAAAUAAAUAGCCACGGAAAAUGGACAAAAUUUAAUUUUCGUAAAAAAAACAUAAAUUUUAAAUUUUUUUUUGUCAAUAAUGCAUCUUUUUAACAUUGUAAUGUAACUUUUUAAUUCAUUAUUUUUACCUAUUAAAGAUAAAUUUUUUUCGUGCAAAAAUAAAACGUGGUCAAAAAAUCUAA